AAAAAAUCAAACCCUGGAUUUCCAUGAUAACGUUUGAUUGUCCGUCUAAUAUGAAAUUUUUUUAUAAUUAAUAUUUUUAUUGUUGUUAGAUGAUAAAACAUGAUUAAUAUUUUAUGCGUGGCUUAUCUUUUUAAUUUUUUUUAAUAUUUUUUUAAAUAAGAUGGACGGUCAAACGUUAGACACGGAAACCAAGAUUUGCCUUUUUU
This is a non-coding RNA of Oryza glumipatula, 206 nucleotides long. NCBI's taxonomy places the organism in Eukaryota, Viridiplantae, Streptophyta, Magnoliopsida, Poales, Poaceae. The record is from Rfam.